AUGCACGCUGGCGGCGUGCCUAAUACAUGCCAGUCGAGCGAACGGACGAGAAGCUUGCUUCUCUGAUGUUAGCGGCGGACGGGUGAGUAACACGUGGAUAACCUACCUAUAAGACUGGGAUAACUUCGGGAAACCGUAGCUAAUACCGGAUAAUAUUUUGAACCGCAUGGUUCAAAAGUGAAAGACGGUCUUGCUGUCACUUAUAGAUGGAUCCGCGCUGCAUUAGCUAGUUGGUAAGGUAACGGCUUACCAAGGCAACGAUGCAUAGCCGACCUGAGAGGGUGAUCGGCCACACUGGAACUGAGACACGGUCCAGACUCCUACGGGAGGCAGCAGUAGGGAAUCUUCCGCAAUGGGCGAAAGCCUGACGGAGCAACGCCGCGUGAGUGAUGAAGGUCUUCGGAUCGUAAAACUCUGUUAUUAGGGAAGAACAUAUGUGUAAGUAACUGUGCACAUCUUGACGGUACCUAAUCAGAAAGCCACGGCUAACUACGUG
Molecule: ribosomal RNA, 496 nt
Filed under: uncultured bacterium
Lineage: Bacteria
Description: partial 16S ribosomal RNA
Rfam family: Bacterial small subunit ribosomal RNA
Source: RNAcentral